CCUCCUAAUAAUGCACAACCGGUGCAAAAUGAAUAGAAAUACCACAUGUGCUGAAUCUUCUAUAUGUUCUUUAUAGUUGCAAUACACUCUCAGAUUUACGGGGGAAGGGUGCUAAACUGUACUCCCCUUGUUGCUGAGGUGCCACCCUUAUCUUCUCUACACGUUCCUUGAUAUCAAUUUUGAGUGUCUUCAUUAAUCUCACAUGUUCCUCAUGAGUGUUUCUUUCUGUUUCCAUAAGACACAAGGAAGGAUUAAGUGACCUCAUUUUACAUGAUCCCUGUGUGUAUUUGGGCAGCAAUGUGGUGUGUUGCCACCUCGCAGCUCCAGGAGCUUGAUCCUGAGCUCCAUGGUUUGUUUUCAUUUCCUCCCCGUUCGCUGGUUUCCCCACACCUCCUAAAAACAUGCUGGUGAGACACAUGGCACUCCCACUUGCUGUGCCUCCCAGACCUACACUCUUGCUCAACAGUGCACACACACACACACACACACACACACACACAAAAGGACUAAUCUCUCAUAGACUGUGACCGGCUGAGGAGUUGAUUAGCCAAUACAGGAUCCCGAACAGCACACACAGUCUGAUUCACAGCAUAACAAUCAUUAGCAUAAUGACGCACAGCAGACUGUUAUGUGGCCUAAUGGGAGCGAUGGAGUAGGAUUCCUUGGCCUUGCACUUCCCACUUGUGUGCAUACAGAAACUAUGAGGCUUUGUUAUGACUGUCUACGCUGUCAGGUCACACAGCUGCUUAGAAGGUUUGUCAUUUUCCUAGAAAUACCCUUCUGUAGUCAGUGUUUCCAGCCAAGCACUGCACUGUUCAAGGCAAGGCCUUUUCGAGAAUUGAAUCUGUUUAUAAACAGUAUGACCUUUUUAGCCCAAUGCCACGGUCAGGAUCUGUUUAAUACUCCAAAUAUCUGUAUCUGUACUCGGAUUUGAACCGGAAACCGCUUCCGAAUUCCUGCAGUUCCUCAACCUCAGCUACAUCACCCGAGUUCAUUAUUGGUCUCAACCAGACAUCCUGUGGACCUUUCUGGAAAACGUUCUGUCUAAUCUGAUGGAGUAAGCUAAAUUAUCUUAAUUUUUUGGGGGGGGUUCGUGACUCCCAGCAGAGAUGUGCUACUCCGUGCACUGCAAGUGCUCCACGUGGACUGUAAUGGAGCAGCGAGUAUAUAAAUAAAAGCUUAUUUCUUUUGAAUAUCGGGGCUGAAAUAUCGUAGAAGUAUGGUUUCAUUUUGGAGCUCGGUAAGGCGGUGUUUUAAGUCUGAGUGUGGGGAAAAAACAAUAACGUGCCUCCAGUUUUUUUUUAAUCUGUAUACAAUUGUAUAAAUGUGAGUCAUUUUUUUUCAUAUUCAGUUCCAUCCCUAAUACACUGCGAGCUGCAGUGCACGCACUCUUUCUCACUUGAAAUGGAAAUAGAACGCUACAUUCAGCCCCAAUUACGAGUGACUCAUGGCCUAAACGCCAGACCGUUGACUCUUGGAACGUUUAAGUUCUGGGCCGAGUGACAAAUGUUAGGGAGGGAGUUGGGGGGGCAGCUGACUCUGGAGAAACACGACAUUUUCAGGCAGGAUUUCAGAAGGCAUGAUAAAGAAGAAACUCUUUGGGAAUUACAGGCUGCCUUUAUGACUAGGCAGUUCUGCUGGUUUGGGGUCAAAGGUCAGGGAUUAGUCUCUCCCAAACCGAGAUAGCAUGCAGGGCCGAGCGUGGGUGUGCAGUGUUUACAGUAGGAGAAGUGUAAUCGUUCUCUAGCUCUCCUGGCUAUCUCUUCAUUAUGAGCACACUGCGUUUUCACUGCUUUAUUCCAUGGCACAUAAACGCUAAAUCUGAACAUUUAAUGCUGUUCCUCUAGAUUGGAAUGACUUUGACUUGCUCUGAUUUGAUUGACAGGUGAUUGUCGAUAAACAUGGUGCAUUUCCUGAGGCCAUAAAUGGUGGAAUUCAAGAUUUACGAUGUCAUAAAAUAAAAUGAGCACAGCACUGUAGUUCAGAGUGAUGUGUCCGAAACUAUCCUGAUACGAUUCCUUUAUUUAUUUACCCAAUAAUGCAGAAAUCGCUCAUUGUGGUAUUUCCUAAUGAUACCAGAAGGCCUGUAUGAGGAUAUGAAACUGUGUGUGUGAGUGUGUGUGUUCCAGGUUAUUACCUGCGGUUAUGUGAAUCGGUAGCUGAAUUUUUGUUUCUGUAAUCAAAUUUCCCUUAAACGCUGAAAGCAGAAGAAUGUGCAAAUUGAACCACUGUUCUGCGAAAACACGAAUAUUAUGUAACGUGUUUAGAGAGAAGAGAGCCUUAGCCAUUGUUGGAGUGUGUACAUAGAGAAGGGAGCGCAAAACAAACACUGUAAUGGAGAGAUGUAGCGCUGUAGUGUCACUCCAGCUUUAGCAGCUGCAGUUUAGUAAAGCAGAAGGUACACAGCUGGAAUUAAAUAGGCUCUGGGUGUGUGUAUGUGGAUUCGUUUUUGUUUUGGUUUGAAAUGGAAAGGGGGGGGGGUGUGAUGUAUAGGCAAAAGAGAUGUUCGAAACCGACUUCAAUAAAGCUUUAAUUUUGUACCUGUC
Ictalurus punctatus (channel catfish) is the source of this 2546-nucleotide long non-coding RNA. RefSeq lists it as uncharacterized. The transcript has 2 exons. NCBI's taxonomy places the organism in Eukaryota, Metazoa, Chordata, Actinopteri, Siluriformes, Ictaluridae. The record is from RefSeq and is a predicted model, not a curated record.